Non-coding RNA from Canis lupus familiaris (dog), 141 nucleotides. Lineage: Eukaryota; Metazoa; Chordata; Mammalia; Carnivora; Canidae. The record is from RefSeq and is marked provisional.
AUGGCUUUGUGUUUGGACCUGCCCUAGGUAUUUGAGGUAGGGGUCUGACCUGUGUACUGCUCAUAACUGGGCCUGUCAUUUGUUUUCUCUGGUUCUGUACCUGUGAUUGGUUUCAAAGAUAGAGCUGGUAAGUUUCUGUUC